UCUUCCCCAGGUCUUGGGAUGCUCUCUUCCCGUCCUGAGGCAGGACCCUGCCAAGGUCGCGAUGAUGCAGAAGGAUGCCUCGCUGUCAGCCCUAUCUUGGAUGCGGGAGACAUUCCGGUCCGCUGAGAACAGCUCGCCAGGGUUCCAGGACGUGGUGAGGGUUGGCAUCAAAGGCUCUGCCGGUGG
RNAcentral lists this small nuclear RNA (186 nucleotides) under Tetraselmis astigmatica. Its description in RNAcentral is "partial Dictyostelium signal recognition particle". The record is from RNAcentral. Lineage: Eukaryota; Viridiplantae; Chlorophyta; Chlorodendrophyceae; Chlorodendrales; Chlorodendraceae.